GAUGAACGCUAGCGGCAGCCUUAACACAUGCAAGUCGAGGGGUAGCAGGGCUUCGGCCGCUGACGACCGGCAAACGGGUGCGGAACACGUACGCAACAUACCCUUUACAGGGGGAUAGCCCGGAGAAAUCCGGAUUAACACCCCAUAGUAUGAAUUGAAGGCAUCUUCGUUUCAUUAAAAAUUUAUUGGUAAAGGAUUGG
Molecule: ribosomal RNA, 200 nt
Filed under: uncultured bacterium
Lineage: Bacteria
Description: partial 16S ribosomal RNA
Rfam family: Bacterial small subunit ribosomal RNA
Source: RNAcentral